CAGUCGCCGCGGGAAUACGUAGGGUGCGAGCGUUAAUCGGAAUUACUGGGCGUAAGCGUGCGCAGGCGGUUGUGUAAGACAGGUGUGAAAUCCCCGGGCUUAACCUGGGAACUGCGCUUGUGACUGCACAGCUAGAGUAUGGCAGAGGGGGGUGGAAUUCCACGUGUAGCAGUGAAAUGCGUAGAGAUGUGGAGGAACACCGAUGGCGAAGGCAGCCCCCUGGGCCAAUACUGACGCUCAUGCACGAAAGCGUGGGGAGCAAACAGGAUAGAUACCCCCGUAGUCCCUGUCUCUUAUACAC
RNAcentral lists this ribosomal RNA (301 nucleotides) under uncultured bacterium. Its description in RNAcentral is "partial 16S ribosomal RNA". It matches the Rfam family "Bacterial small subunit ribosomal RNA", at positions 509 to 809 of the family's 1533-position model. The record is from RNAcentral.